Molecule: long non-coding RNA, 525 nt
Organism: Leopardus geoffroyi (Geoffroy's cat)
Lineage: Eukaryota; Metazoa; Chordata; Mammalia; Carnivora; Felidae
Exons: 4
Source: RefSeq, a predicted model, not a curated record
GAGUUUACAUGCAUUUUAUUUUUAAACAACCUACAUGGCACGUUUUCUUAGAAACGAUGCCUCCGCUCCAGAUAAAGCAAGGUCAGAAUAAAUGAAGAGCUCAAGAUGACGUCAGUCCCAUCCGUCUUCAGUCCUGGUGUUGUGUGAAUGAGCAGCAGCCAGCUAUGACGACGGGUGAUAAUGUCCAAAGUUAAUAGCCAAAUUCGUCAACAUUUUUCCAUUUCUAAACCAUCCUUAAAGAAGAUCAUAUAUGGGGUCACACCCUACUCGCAGUAGGCCAGCGGGGCAGCCAUGCCUCCCGGAUUCAUGUUUUCACCAAUAAAAGACUGGUAGUUUUUAAAAAUAGCAAGGAUGUGCUCGAUUUGUCCUGCAGCCCCUGUCAUAAAAGGUUUCACCCUUUCUGGCCUCUGUUCUUCAAGUCUGCCUUUGACUGAUUUCACGUAAUCUUUGAUGUACUUCUCGUAGGCUUCCUUUGUGAAGCUGGUUUCCCGCAAGUGAUGUCGGAAGAGCCACGUGCAGGGAAAG